Molecule: ribosomal RNA, 137 nt
Filed under: uncultured eukaryote
Lineage: Eukaryota
Description: partial 18S ribosomal RNA
Rfam family: Eukaryotic small subunit ribosomal RNA
Source: RNAcentral
UGGUGGGGUGACUUGUCUGCUUAAUUGCGAUAACGAACGAGACCUUAACCUGCUAAAUAGCCCGCAUUGCUCCGGCAGUGCGCUGGCUUCUUAGAGGGACUUUCGGCUCAAGCCGAAGGAAGUUUGAGGCAAUAACG